Non-coding RNA from Danio rerio (zebrafish), 89 nucleotides. NCBI's taxonomy places the organism in Eukaryota, Metazoa, Chordata, Actinopteri, Cypriniformes, Danionidae. The record is from Rfam.
GGCUCUGUGGCGCAAUGGAUAGCGCAUUGGACUUCUAGACUGUGAGCUGAGCCAUUCAAAGGUUGAGGGAUCGAGUCCCACCAGAGUUG